This 253-nucleotide ribosomal RNA is filed under the name uncultured bacterium. Its description in RNAcentral is "partial 16S ribosomal RNA". It matches the Rfam family "Bacterial small subunit ribosomal RNA", at positions 524 to 776 of the family's 1533-position model. The record is from RNAcentral.
UACGUAGGGGGCAAGCGUUGUCCGGAUUUAUUGGGCGUAAAGAGCGUGUAGGCGGCUUUGCAAGUCCGUUGUGAAAACUCGAGGCUCAACCUCGAGACGCCGGUGGAAACUGCAAAGCUAGAGUCCGGAAGAGGAGAGUGGAAUUCCUGGUGUAGCGGUGAAAUGCGCAGAUAUCAGGAAGAACACCGGUGGCGAAGGCGGCUCUCUGGGACGGUACUGACGCUGAGACGCGAAAGCGUGGGGAGCGAACAGG